GCCCUUCUCUCCCCGCCUUUCCCGAGGCCCCUAUGCCCAAGAUCCUCUUUCUCCAAUCGUAGUCUUCCUCCGGCCUCCUCUCUCAGCUCCUUCCUCCCUCCACGUUCUGUCCCGUCUACCCCCUCCAAGUUACCCCCUCCCGCAUCUACCCCCACCCCGUCUUCUCCCUGGUCCUCGUACUGCAGUUCGCACGCGUCGUGGUGCUGGUAGCCUGGGCUAGUGCAGAUGCCGCCGUGGUCGCUCGCUAUCCCUUCCCUGCACAUUCGUUCACUCUGGCUCUGGGCGGUGACUUCCGAGAUUUCGCCGGCGCCUUUCCUUCUUACUUCUGCUUCGUGCAUCCGGGGGCAACGGGGGGAGAUGGGAAACCUGGAUGAACUCUGCUGCAUCUCUUGAGAAAGUAGCAGUGUUUGGAGGUUUCAACUGCUGGACCGAAAACUGCAAUGUACUGCUUCUCUUCCUGGAGACAGCAAGUCUUUGGGCAUUGUUACCUCACAGGCUCAUAGCAAAAACUCCUUGUGAUGCCACUUUUCUGAAUCCUUCUGGUAUGGUGGACUCCAACCUCAGUCUGGAUCCAAGGAGUGUCUUCCAGAUACCAGGAGUCACAAGGGAUACUUGGUGAGCCUACUUCUGACCAUGAGUGUCUCAGGGCUGAUGCGAUGUAAAUAGAAGAUUUUUUGUCUGCUGAGGAACCAGAAGGACUGGUGAGGAACCAGAAGGACAAGAGAUCCAGAGCCAGAACUGAUUUUUCACCCAAAGGAUCAAUAUGCCCUUCCUUCGUUCCCUCUUCUUUUGUGUUUUCUUUCAUGGUAAACGCAUGUAAAAGCAAAAACUUACAAUAGUAGCUAGGUAUCUCAGUGGAUAGAGGACCAGAUCUGGAGAUGGAAGAUCCUGGGUUCAAAAUUGACCUCAGAUACUUCCUAGCUGUGUGAUCCUGAGCAAGUCACUCAACCCCAAUUGCCUAGCUC
RNAcentral lists this long non-coding RNA (965 nucleotides) under Monodelphis domestica (gray short-tailed opossum). Its description in RNAcentral is "lncRNA (ENSMODG00000047105.1)". Lineage: Eukaryota; Metazoa; Chordata; Mammalia; Didelphimorphia; Didelphidae. The record is from RNAcentral.